GUCUUCAAUCAUCUUAAAAUGCACAUAUGUAGAUUAUGUAAAAAAAAAAAAAAAAAAAAAAAAAAAAUUAAGUGGCAUGCCUUUUUUUUUACACAAAAAGAGGGUUUGUGCUGGUGUAGCCCUGUACAAAAUUUCUAUAAGUUACAGAGUAUAAAAGAUCAUUAACAGUGUAACACACGCACAUAAAAAAAAAGAGAAGUUCAUAAAUAGAGUUCAUGUUAGUUAAAAUUGGGUAAAAGGUGUGCUGGUUAAAAGUAUAAAUAUAAUAUGUAGAGUUUAAUAAAUAAGACUAUUUACAGUUAAAGUUAAAUUCAUAUAAAAAGUUUUUGUUUCAUUUGAGAGAAAAGUAGAGAAGAAGCAGCUGUGUUUAUCAGUGUAAUUUAACCUGUUACCUGUCACCUGUCAAUCAUUUAAUUCCUGUUUUGCUUCUGGUUGUGUUAGUACUUGAGCCAAUCAGAGUAACAUCACUGUGUAAGGGGCGGGACUAUUGGGACAGGUUUGUGUGAGGAGUAGUGAGCACGCAUGAAAAACGGAGAACAGACGCUAUGACGAGAGCGCUAAUGAAGGAGGCAUCGUGGUGUGGGAAGCAUUAGUGUUUUGUUAUGAAGGUCGACUACUCGUGGUCCUUACAACAAAAAAAAACUUUGGUGUGACCUGCAAGAGACGGAUGUUGGUUUCUCUCUUUUGCACAUAACUGUGUUGGUUUUCUGUUUUGUUUCUGGAUCUGGAGCUGUACUUCUGCUCUGCUUUCUGAUCUACUGCAGAUCAAAAAAUACAGUCUCCAGAAGGACAAUCUGGAAUCUUC
This is a long non-coding RNA of Megalobrama amblycephala (Wuchang bream), 805 nucleotides long. RefSeq lists it as uncharacterized. NCBI's taxonomy places the organism in Eukaryota, Metazoa, Chordata, Actinopteri, Cypriniformes, Xenocyprididae. The record is from RefSeq and is a predicted model, not a curated record. The transcript has 3 exons.